Acanthaster planci (crown-of-thorns starfish) is the source of this 911-nucleotide long non-coding RNA. The record is from RefSeq and is a predicted model, not a curated record. NCBI's taxonomy places the organism in Eukaryota, Metazoa, Echinodermata, Asteroidea, Valvatida, Acanthasteridae.
AAGGAGUGUCCAGCAGCCAACUAUAUGCCUGCAUUUCUGAGGCCAUCAUUUAUCUUGAAUUGGCAGGACUUGAGGUCCGGUCAUUGGUCUGUGAUGGGGCAUCACCCAGUAGGACGUUUUUCAGAUUACAUGGCAAUGGCACAUCUUCAUCUCCGACGUACACCACGCCUAACCCAGCGGAUCCAUCAAGGAAGGUGUACUUCAUCUGCGACGUGUUGCACCUGAUGAAACCACUCUAAGCAAUCUGGAGAAUUCCGUCUACUACAAGACAAGAAAUCUAAUGUAUGACAAGCAGAGCCUCAGCUGGUCUCAAUUCCUGCAAUUAUACGAAUGGGACGUUGGCCUGAUGAGAAGUUCAGCGGGCCUCCGCCAUCCCCACAAGAUCUCUCGAGAGCAUAUCCAUUUGACACCAUCAUUGCAAAUGAGGGUGUACAUGGCAGGUCAGGUAUUAAGUUCCACUGUUACUACUCCUUGGAGUCAAUGAAACCAUCUGCAACUUCAUCCACUGUAAAGUUUAUCAGGCUGAUGGAUCAAUUCUUUAUCUAAAUGCGAGCAACCCACUUCAGGGAAUGCAGUCACGCAAAACUGCCCUAGACCCAUACACGAGUAUUGAGGACUGGCGUUUCAAGUUUCUGAAGUCCCCUCAUUUGUGGAACUUGCAAAAGUUCUGCUGAGUUCUGGUGUGAAGUACGUCCUCAGUGAAAAGCUAAACCAGGACCCCUCCGAGGAGUACUUCAGCAAACAGAGGGCUGCAGGGGGAAGCUGGGACAACCCAACAGUGGAACAAUUCAGACACAAUAUGCUUUCGCUGUGUGACGCUUCUACUAGUGCAAAGGCUUCCAAGCAGGGAAACGUGCACAAAGGAAACCAGUCUGAAGACACCGUAAUAGACAACGCACCACUCCCCCCCC